GAUGAACGCUGGCGGCGUGCUUAACACAUGCAAGUCGAACGGAAGCGCCCGGCGCUUGUGGUGGGCACGCGUGGCGAAAGCGUGAGUGAAACGUGAGUAACAUGCCCUCGACUGUGGGAGAACUUCAGGAAACUGGGGCUAAUACACGAUAGGAGCUCCUGCAGCAUGGGGGGUGUUGGAAAGAUUGGGCGGAUGGGGAUGGACUCGCGGCUUAUCAGCUUGUUGGUGGGGUAGGGGCUUACCAAGGCUUUGACGGGUAGCCGGCCUGAGAGGGUAACCGGCGACAAUGCGACUGAGAGAGGGACCAGACUCGUACGGGCGGCAGUAGUGGGGAAUAUUGCACAAUGGGCGGAAGCCUGAUGAAGAGACGCCGCGUGCGUGAUGACGGCCUUCGGGUGGUAAACCGCUUCCGCAUGUGCCGAAGCGUGAUUGACGGUAAUGGGUAAAGAAGCAACGGCUAACUACGUG
RNAcentral lists this ribosomal RNA (468 nucleotides) under uncultured bacterium. RNAcentral's name for it is "partial 16S ribosomal RNA". It matches the Rfam family "Bacterial small subunit ribosomal RNA", at positions 28 to 507 of the family's 1533-position model. The record is from RNAcentral.